GACAGAGGUGCCGAGCGUUAGGCGGAAUCACUGGGCUUAAAGCGUGUGUAGGCGGACUUCUAAGUACCUUGUGAAAUCCCACGGCUCAACCGUGGAACUGCUCGGUAUACUGGUCGUCUUGAGCCACCUAGGGGCGAGCGGAACAAGCGGUGGAGCGGUGAAAUGCGUAGAGAUGUGGAGGAACACCGAUGGCGAAGGCAGCCUUCUGGGCCAACACUGACGCUCAUGCACGAAAGCGUGGGGAGCAAACAGG
Molecule: ribosomal RNA, 253 nt
Filed under: uncultured bacterium
Lineage: Bacteria
Description: partial 16S ribosomal RNA
Rfam family: Bacterial small subunit ribosomal RNA
Source: RNAcentral